Gadus morhua (Atlantic cod) is the source of this 1548-nucleotide long non-coding RNA. Lineage: Eukaryota; Metazoa; Chordata; Actinopteri; Gadiformes; Gadidae. The record is from Ensembl.
GUUCGCAAGCUCAGCGCCGGGGCCACCAAGGGGGAGAGGCCGGGCGUCGGGAAGCCCCCGGCCGCGUCCCCCCGGAGCCACAGUCAGGACCUGGGCAGCCCCCCGGGGGCCGCCCACCAGCUCACCAUCCUCCCCCUGGCCCACAGAGACCUGGUGAGGCGUCUGUUCUGCGUGCGGUAGACGUGGUCCUGACCGCAGCGACCCGGGUUUGAUUCCUGCCUGGGGUUCAUGCUGCACGCCCUCCCCCUCUAACUCCCACACCGUCCAGUCCAUCUCGCUCGGUCAUAAAGCGUUAAAAUGAUCAACAAAAAUCUUUAGAUGUAAAACCGUGGGGCGGGGCGGGAUAUCCCCAACUCAACCCACCAGAGUUGUUCCCUACACCCAGUAAGUAAACACAUUAGACUUGAUGGAGCAUAAAGUAAACAGCAGAGGAUUAGUCUUCUAUAAAUAUGAGGACAUAAAUACCUCCUGACCCGGAGUGUUGACGCAGGGUAGAGAGGAGAGGAUGAGCUCAUGUUUAAUCACGCUUUGAAUAAGGGUCUCUGUGUGUAUGAGGUGUGUGUGUGUGUGUGUGUGUGUGUGUGUGUGUGUGUGUGUGUGUGUGUGUGUGUGUGUGUGUGUGUGUGUGUGUGUGUGUGUGUGUGUGUGUGUGUGUGUGUGCGCUUGAGAGAGACAAGGGGGUUAAGGAUUGUGUAUGUGUUGGAUAAUGUAUAUUGGACAGACCUUUGGGAAUGAUCAAAUCAUGGAAUGUCAGGAGUAAUGGUCCACUUCGGUAACCAUUGACAACCCCAUGCCGUUUCUCUUGACCCCAGCUCCUCCAACGGGGCUCCUCUACCGGGGAAGCACCAUAGAAGAGGUGGUCCCACCAGGUCCUAAUCGAUAGGGGAUGCUGCUAGCCGAUAGCUAUAAUGCUUUAAUGGCCAGGCUCUCAUCUCGCUGUGCCUGCGAUGGUUUCAUCAGACUCUAUGUCUACAGUGUGUGUUUGUGCUUAUGCACAUGUGUAAACAUACUUUUACAGCAUGCGGUUUGUUGUCUGGGUCUACAAAGUGUUACAACAAUAACGAAUGUAUCUGUGUGUGUGUGUGUGUGCAUAUGUUUGUUUUUGUGUGUGUGUGUGAGUGUGUGUGUGCGUGUGUGUUUUUGAGUAUGUUUGUGUGCGUUUGUGUGUGUGUUUGGUGUGUGUGGAAGCGCGUGUGUGUGUGUGCGUGUGUGUGUGUAUGUUUUUGUAUGUUUGUGUGUGCGUGUGUGUGUGUGUGUGUGUUGCAGGAGUUGAGAGAGGGCCUGGCCAGCCCAGAGGACCUGUCCCCUGCCACCCUGCACUCCCCCAGCUUUGUAACGGACUCCCUGAUGGGCUGCACCUCGCUGCCACUCACCCAGGACACUGAGUCCACCAAUGCGGUGCCAGAUGACAGCAGCUCUGCCCUGAUGGACGACACCUCCAGCCAGUCCUCUGAGGCGGCCUGCACAGAGGAGGACAGGAGGAGCGCCUUAGAGAAAAGCAUGUAUGUGUUCAGCCCGCCCAAGGCUCAGCGACUCAAACCACACUGA